AGUAACGCGUAGGAACGUACCCCAAAGUGAGGGAUAACUGCUCGAAAGAGUAGCUAAUACCGCAUGUGCUCUAAGGAGUAAAGCUUUAUGUGCUUUGGGAACGGCCUGCGUCUGAUUAGCUUGAUGGUGAGGUAAAAGCUCACCAUGGCGACGAUCAGUAGCUGGUCUGAGAGGAUGAUCAGCCAGACUGGGACUGAGACACGGCCCAG
Molecule: ribosomal RNA, 209 nt
Filed under: uncultured bacterium
Lineage: Bacteria
Description: partial 16S ribosomal RNA
Rfam family: Bacterial small subunit ribosomal RNA
Source: RNAcentral